GUCGUCAGAUCGCCCAGGAAGAGGCGGGUGCUGCGCGCACCCAGCGCGGUGGCCGCGAGGUAGCCCCUGAGCUUCUACAGCGUAUUGCCGAUU
This 93-nucleotide transfer RNA is filed under the name Microbulbifer sp. GL-2. RNAcentral describes it as "tRNA-Arg". Lineage: Bacteria; Pseudomonadati; Pseudomonadota; Gammaproteobacteria; Cellvibrionales; Microbulbiferaceae. The record is from RNAcentral.